This 209-nucleotide ribosomal RNA is filed under the name uncultured bacterium. RNAcentral's name for it is "partial 16S ribosomal RNA". It matches the Rfam family "Bacterial small subunit ribosomal RNA", at positions 1294 to 1500 of the family's 1533-position model. The record is from RNAcentral.
CGGACUGUAGGCUGCAACUCGCCUACACGAAGCUGGAAUCGCUAGUAAUCGCGGAUCAGCACGCCGCGGUGAAUACGUUCCCGGGCCUUGUACACACCGCCCGUCACACCAUGAGAGUCUGUAACACCCAAAGCCGGUGGGAUAACCUUUAUAGGAGUCAGCCGUCUAAGGUAGGACAGAUGAUUAGGGUGAAGUCGUAACAAGGUAUC